This 77-nucleotide transfer RNA is filed under the name Gammaproteobacteria bacterium. RNAcentral describes it as "tRNA-Pro". It matches the Rfam family "tRNA". From Rfam's summary of the family: Transfer RNA (tRNA) molecules are approximately 80 nucleotides in length. Their secondary structure includes four short double-helical elements and three loops (D, anti-codon, and T loops). Lineage: Bacteria; Pseudomonadati; Pseudomonadota; Gammaproteobacteria. The record is from RNAcentral.
CGGGGUGUAGCGCAGUCUGGUAGCGCACCUGCAUGGGGUGCAGGUGGUCGGAGGUUCGAAUCCUCUCUCCCCGACCA